AUUGAACGCUGGCGGCAUGCUUUACACAUGCAAGUCGAACGGUAACAGGCCUUCGGGUGCUGACUAGUGGCGAACGGGGGAGUAAGGCAGCGGAACGUGCCCAGAGGUAGGGUAUAACGCAGCGAAAGCUGUGCUAAUACCGCAUAUGAUCUGGUGAUGAAAGCGGGGGACCAAGCAGCAAUGUUUGGCCUCGCGCCUCUGAAGCGGCCGAUGUCAGAUUAGGUAGUUGGUGGGGUAAAGGCCUACCAAGCCGACGAUCUGUAGCUGGUCUGAGAGGACGACCAGCCACACUGGGACUGAGACACGGCCCAGACUCCUACGGGAGGCAGCAGUGGGGAAUUUUGGACAAUGGGCGCAAGCCUGAUCCAGCAAUGCCGCGUGAGUGAAGAAGGCCUUCGGGUUGUAAACCGCUUUUGUACGGAACGAAAAGGAUCUGGCUAAUACCUGGGGAUGCUGACGGUACCGUAAGAAUAAGCACCGGCUAACUACGUG
RNAcentral lists this ribosomal RNA (492 nucleotides) under uncultured bacterium. RNAcentral describes it as "partial 16S ribosomal RNA". It matches the Rfam family "Bacterial small subunit ribosomal RNA", at positions 30 to 507 of the family's 1533-position model. The record is from RNAcentral.